GAUGAACGCUGGCGGCGUGCCUAAUACAUGCAAGUCGAGCGAACAGACGAGGAGCUUGCUCCUCUGACGUUAGCGGCGGACGGGUGAGUAACACGUGGAUAACCUACCUAUAAGACUGGGAUAACUUCGGGAAACCGGAGCUAAUACCGGAUAAUAUAUUGAACCGCAUGGUUCAAUAGUGAAAGACGGUUUUGCUGUCACUUAUAGAUGGAUCCGCGCCGCAUUAGCUAGUUGGUAAGGUAACGGCUUACCAAGGCAACGAUGCGUAGCCGACCUGAGAGGGUGGGCGGCGACACUGGAACUGAGGCACGGUCGAGACUCCGACGGGAGGCGGCAGUAGGGGAUCUUCCGCGAUGGGCGAAAGCCUGACGGAGCAACGCCGCGUGAGUGAUGAAGGUCUUCGGAUCGUAAAACUCUGUUAUUAGGGAAGAACAAAUGUGUAAGUAACUAUGCACGUCUUGACGGUACCUAAUCAGAAAGCGACGGCUAACUACGUG
RNAcentral lists this ribosomal RNA (497 nucleotides) under uncultured bacterium. RNAcentral's name for it is "partial 16S ribosomal RNA". It matches the Rfam family "Bacterial small subunit ribosomal RNA", at positions 28 to 507 of the family's 1533-position model. The record is from RNAcentral.